Molecule: ribosomal RNA, 301 nt
Filed under: uncultured Planctomycetota bacterium
Lineage: Bacteria; Pseudomonadati; Planctomycetota
Description: bacterial SSU rRNA
Rfam family: Bacterial small subunit ribosomal RNA
Source: RNAcentral
AACGAACGUUGGCGGCGUGGAUUAGGCAUGCAAGUCGAGGGAAUCCCAGCAAUGGGGGAACCGGCGUAAGGGGCAGUAAUGCGUGGGUACCUACCCUGGGGUUCGGCAUAGCCGUCCGAGAGGGCGGGUAAAUUCCGGGAUGACCUCGGGAGAGCAAAGAUUUAUCGCCCUGGGAGGGGCCCACGUGAUAUUAGCUAGUUGGUGAGGUAACGGCUCACCAAGGCGGAGAUGUCUAGCGGGUGUGAGAGCACGACCCGCGCCACUGGCACUGAGACACUGGCCAGACACCUACGGGUGGCUG